GACGAACGCUGGCGGCGUGCUUAACACAUGCAAGUCGAACGGAAAGGCCCUGCUCUUGUGGGGUGCUCGAUUGGCGAACGGGUGAGUAACACGUGAGUAACCUGCCCCUGACUUUGUGAUAACUUCUGGAAACUGCGGCUAAUACCGCAUAGAAUCUCCUGCUGCAUGUUGGGGGUUGGUAAGUUCCGGCUGUUGGGGAUGGUCUCGCGGCUUAUCAGCUUGAUGGUGGGGUAGUGGCUUACCAAGGCUUUGACGGGUAGCCUGCCUGAGAGGCUGACCGGCCACAUUGGGACUGAGAGACGGCCCAGACUCCUACGGGAGGCAGCAGUGGGGAAUAUUGCACAAUGGGCGGAAGCCUGAUGCAGCAACGCCGCGUGCGGAAUGACGGCCUUCGGGUUAUAAACCGCUUUCGACUGUGACAAAGCGUGAGUGACGGUAAUGGGUAAAGAAGCAACGGCUAACUACGUG
This 468-nucleotide ribosomal RNA is filed under the name uncultured bacterium. RNAcentral describes it as "partial 16S ribosomal RNA". It matches the Rfam family "Bacterial small subunit ribosomal RNA", at positions 28 to 507 of the family's 1533-position model. The record is from RNAcentral.